GCUUAAGCAUAUCAAUAAGCGGAGGAAAAGAAACUAACAAGGAUUCCCAUAGUAACGGCGAGUGAAGCGGGAUGAGCUCAAAUUUGAAAUCUGGCGGUCUAAGGCCGUCCGAGUUGUAAUCUAGAGAGGUGUUUUCCGUGCCGGACCGUGUACAAGUCCCUUGGAACAGGGCGUCAUAGAGGGUGAGAAUCCCGUCCAUGACACGGACUACCGGUGCUCUGUGAUACACCUUCAAAGAGUCGAGUUGUUUGGGAAUGCAGCUCAAAACGGGUGGUAAAUUCCAUCUAAAGCUAAAUACAGGCGAGAGACCGAUAGCGAACAAGUACCGUGAGGGAAAGAUGAAAAGAACUUUGGAAAGAGAGUUAAACAGUACGUGAAAUUGUUGAAAGGGAAACGCUUGAAGUCAGUCGCGUCCGCAGGGACUCAGCCUUGCUUUUGCUUGGUGCACUUCUCUGUGGAUGGGCCAGCAUCGAUUUUGGUUGCCGGAAAAGGGCGGGAGGAAUGUGGCAGCUUUUAGCUGUGUUAUAGCCUCUUGUCGUACACGGUGGCCGGGAUCGAGGACUGCAGCACGCCUUUGGUCGGGGUUUGCCCACGCCACGUGCUUAGGAUGCUGGCGUAAUGGCUUUAAACGACCCGUCUUGAAACACGGACCAAGGAGUCUAACAUGCCUGCGAGUGUUUGGGUGCGAAACCCAGGCGCGUAAUGAAAGUGAAAAGUUGGGACUCUUUAGUGAGGCACCGACGCCCGAACCUGAAGUCUUCUGACGGUUUUGAGGCAGAGCAUGUAUGUUGGGACCCGAAAGAUGGUGAACUAUGCCUGAAUAGGGUGAAGCCAGAGGAAACUCUGGUGGAGGCUCGUAGCGAUUCUGACGUGCAAAUCGAUCGUCAAAUUUGGGUAUAGGGGCGAAAGACUAAUCGAACCAUCUAGUAGCUGGUUCCUGCCGAGCUCCCUCUCCGCAGAAUAUACA
This 967-nucleotide ribosomal RNA is filed under the name Auricularia sp. RNAcentral's name for it is "partial large subunit ribosomal RNA". It matches the Rfam family "Eukaryotic large subunit ribosomal RNA", at positions 32 to 987 of the family's 3401-position model. Lineage: Eukaryota; Fungi; Basidiomycota; Agaricomycetes; Auriculariales; Auriculariaceae. The record is from RNAcentral.